CAAAAACCAGCCAUAUGCUGUUGUUAGAAAUACUAUAUCAGUCAGAAUUGGUGUAACAGAAACCCAACUUACAGUGGUUUAAAUAUGUAAGAAAUUUAAUUUUCCUUGCAGCAGAGAGCUGCCGAUAUAGGCAGCUGCUCAGAAAACCUCUACCCUUUUCCAGCUUCCCUCACCCUCAGCACCUCUGCUGGGCUUGGUAGCUUACCUGAUGGUGUGACCCCAACCUUCAUUCCUAAGCGAUCUGAGCCCUUCUUGGUCACCAUGCCUCUCAUGUAUGAGGCCAUGAUGGAUGUACGUGUCCAUUUACCAUCAAAACUGGGCACCUGAUCCAUAUACCAAGCUCAGGCUCCUUCCUCCUCUGUUGGCUGGUCAUAAAGGACCCUUCUCUCCACCCCAUGCAGCCAUCAGUAUGAGCUGAGAGCAAGACAACAGGUGGAUGAGAUGGGGGUCUGGUUACCUGCUCACGCAGCUCGCUUAUGCCAUCUGGUCCUCCUUCUGCUCAAUCCUCCAUGUCCCACUUCUAUUCUGGCAUGCUGCUGGGCCCACCUGAUCUUAUGACUUGGUUGAUCUGACAAAUAUCUGACUCAUUGUGGAUAGUUUUGGCUGCACAAUCGUUUGCUUUCCCGUGAUCGGGUGUUCCCUCCCUCCGGGGCCAAGUAGCCCUCAGGAGCUUGUGAUGGUUAAUUUUAGGUGUCAACCGGACUGGGUUAAGGAAUAGCUAGAGAACUUGUAAAGCAUCACUUCUGGGUGUGUCCGUGAGGGUGUUUCCAGAGGACAGUGGCCUGGGACUUUGUGGACUGAGAGGAGGAGAUCUGCCCUCAUUAUGGGCAGGCACCAUCCAAUCAGCUGGCACCCGCAUAGAACAAAAAAGGCAGAAACAAAACAAAACAAAACAAUUUUCUCUCUCUCUCUCUCUCUCCCUCCCUCUCUUCUUCUCUCUCCUGGAGCUGGAACACACUUUUUUCUCCUGCCUUUGGACAUCGGAACUCCAGGCUCUCCAGGCUUUCCAGACUCUGGACUUAACAGCAGUCUCUGGACUUACAACAGCAGCCCCCUGGAUCCUCAAGCCUUUGGCCUCAGACUAAUAAUUAUAUCAGCAACUUCCUGGUUCUGAGGCUUUUGGGCAGCCAUGCUACUAGCAACCCAGCAGUUCCAGCAGAAGGCCUGUUGUGGGACUUCUCAGCCUCCAUGAGCAUGUAAGCUUGCUUAAAAGAACUCCAGAUGGCCCGGGAGCUGCAGGACCCUUUGCCAAUUAUCAGAGGAAGAUAAGGCCUGUGUGAAACCGGGACAAACCUGAACCAGCGACCCCGUGUUACCUUUAGAUCAUUAACAUAUCAUCAUAAUGCUAAAACCUCACCCAUAGAAGAUAAUUGCUGCCAUUUUCUGAAUAUACAUUAUAUGAAGAAGCAUGUUCAUGAUCUGCACCUGCACAUCUGGAGUUCCUCCCCAUACAUGUUUACGUACCUCCCUGCCCCACAUCUAACUCCUUAAAAUCCCCCAGCUUCUCAUAUCUCAGGGAGAAGGAGUCUUUAGAGAAAGAGCUCCCUCCUCCAUUCCUGGCCAGGAAUAAAACCUGCUUGCCUUUUUUCCCAAUUAGGUGUUACAGUAGAACUCAGUUACCCUGUAACAAUAAGAAUUGCAUUAAAUCCUUAUAUCAACUUGGGAAGAAUUGACAGCUUUACCAUAUUAAGUCUUCUAAUCCAUAAAUAAGUAUGUUCAUCCAUUUUUUUAGAUUUUUGAAAUUUCUUUCAUCAGCAUUUUGUAGUUCUUUGCCUCACUAUCUAGAUCCCAAAUAUUUUCUGUUUUUUUUUUCUGAAAGUUUUAUCUCUUACAAUUUAAACCUGAGUAGUUCUCAGCAUGCAAGCCCCAUACAUGUUUUGUUGGAUUUAAAUUUAAGUACUUUGGUUUUUGAUAAAUUGUAAGUGCUACUGUAUUUUAAGUUUCAGUGCCCAUGUGUUCCUUGCUGGUAUAAAGAAAUACAACAUAUUCCUGCAGUCUAGCUGAAGUCACUUAUCAGCUCUAGGAGUUUCUGUUUUUUGUUUUAUUUUUGGUAGAUCUUUGAGAUUUCCUACUUUGAUAAGCAUGUUAUCCACGAAUAGGGACAGUUUUAUUACUACCUUUCUGAUCUGUAUGCCUUUUAUUUCCUUUUCUUACCUUAUUGCAUUGGGUAGAACUUCUAACACUGUUUAACAAUAAUGGUAAGAGCAGUCAUCCUUGCCCUUUUCCUCUUCUCAGGGGUACAACCAUUCAGUCUUUCACUGUUAAGUAUGAUGCUGGCUGUGGAGUUGUUAUAGAUGCUCUUUAACAAGUUAGGACAAAUUCCCUCUAUUUCUCUUUUUCUGAGCAUUUUUAAAACCAUGAAUGGGUAUUUUGUGAAAUGCUUUUUCUGUAUUGAUUGGUAAGAUCAAUUUUCUUUUGUAUCCAGUUAGUAUGUUGGAUUAUGUUGACUGAUUUGUGAAUAGUAAAACUGCCCUGCAUUCCUGCAGUAAGCUUCGCUGUGUUACAAGAUCUUUGGGGUGUUGCUUUUCUGGCCAGAAACCUCUGUGGCCAGUGGUGCCUUUGCCCAAGUUUUGUUUGGGCUCACUGGGCUCAUUCCGCCCACUCGGCCUGGCAGGCUGUGCUCAGCUCAUGCUACCAGCCUGGACCCCAUGUCUGCCAAAGGCAAGUCAGGCAUGGAGUGGCAAGGGGUGUGUGAGUGAGCGUGGGGUCUGGCCACUGUGCAGUCAGACAUGUCAGCUGCUGCAGUGGGGUGGGCAGCUCCAGGUGCUGGCACAGGCACUAGUCCUCUGUGAGGCUGUGGCUGAGCCAGGCACACUGCACGCAGCUUCCACAGCUGGUACUGGGGAACAAAGUGGUGCCUGGAGGCUUGGAGAUGCCAGGAACCACAGGGCUCCCAAGAAAGAGUCAUAGCCCUGGCUUGGGGAGCUCCCAGGUCUGGGCUUCCCGAAGGGCCAUAGCUAUUCUUUCUUUCUCUUCACCCUCAAUGUAGUGAGCAAGGGGCAUGUUUCAACCCUGUUUGUGUUACAGCUCUUUUAGCCCUACCAUUCAAUGGGUCCCAAGUUCUUGUCCUAUAACCAGGAAGAAUGAGGUACCCAGACAAGUGGAGGGUGAGCAAGAUGAAAAGGAGCUUUACUGAGCGACAGAACAGUUUGGAGGAAACCCGCAGUGGGUAGCUCCUUUCCACAGCCAGGGUGUCCUGAUGAGUGUUCAGCUCCUAGCAAAGAGGAGGCCCUGGAGUGGGAAGCUCCUCUUUGCAUGCAGGUGGUCACAUUGUCUCUGCAGCUCUCAGCAGAGAGGAGGCCCUGGAGUGGGUAGCUCCUCUCUGCUGUUGGUCAUCCUAAUGUCUGCUCAGCUCUGGUUGAGCGCAGGGGUAUUAUGGGCUUCAGAGGGGGGAAAGUGUAUGCCAACUGGUCCAUGGGCAGGCCCAGAAAAGGCACCACAAGCUCCCACUCUGGUCUGUGGGGCUGGCAGCCCGACGCCAGCCUUCAGGCCCUCCCUGGCCUGAAGGUGGGGCCUCACUGGGGACCUGCCCCCUUCUGCCCAGGAGCCCAUCUGCCUCCUGCCACUGCACAUGGCACCCAGGCUGCUCACAGCAAGGGGCACCUACAGGCCAGGGCAAGCCGCCCUCAACUUCGUCAUUGUGUAUACUUUUUUUUACAUUGUUGAAUUC
This 3670-nucleotide long non-coding RNA is filed under the name Homo sapiens (human). Its description in RNAcentral is "non-protein coding lnc-SLC2A10-9:6". The record is from RNAcentral. Lineage: Eukaryota; Metazoa; Chordata; Mammalia; Primates; Hominidae.